AGCUACAGGCUUAACACAUGCAAGUCGAGGGGUAGCAUGGUCUUAGCUUGCUAAGGCCGAUGGCGACCGGCGCACGGGUGAGUAACACGUAUCCAACCUGCCGUCUACUCUUGGACAGCCUUCUGAAAGGAAGAUUAAUACAAGAUGGCAUCAUGAGUCCGCAUGUUCACAUGAUUAAAGGUAUUCCGGUAGACGAUGGGGAUGCGUUCCAUUAGAUAGUAGGCGGGGUAACGGCCCACCUAGUCUUCGAUGGAUAGGGGUUCUGAGAGGAAGGUCCCCCACAUUGGAACUGAGACACGGUCCAAACUCCUACGGGAGGCAGCAGUGAGGAAUAUUGGUCAAUGGGCGAGAGCCUGAACCAGCCAAGUAGCGUGAAGGAUGACUGCCCUAUGGGUUGUAAACUUCUUUUAUAAAGGAAUAAAGUCGGGUAUGGAUACCCGUUUGCAUGUACUUUAUGAAUAAGGAUCGGCUAACUCCGUGCCAGCAGCCGCGGUAAUACGGAGGAUCCGAGCGUUAUCCGGAUUUAUUGGGUUUAAAGGGAGCGUAGAUGGAUGUUUAAGUCAGUUGUGAAAGUUUGCGGCUCAACCGUAAAAUUGCAGUUGAUACUGGAUAUCUUGAGUGCAGUUGAGGCAGGCGGAAUUCGUGGUGUAGCGGUGAAAUGCUUAGAUAUCACGAAGAACUCCGAUUGCGAAGGCAGCCUGCUAAGCUGCAACUGACAUUGAGGCUCGAAAGUGUGGGUAUCAAACAGGAUUAGAUACCCUGGUAGUCCACACGGUAAACGAUGAAUACUCGCUGUUUGCGAUAUACUGCAAGCGGCCAAGCGAAAGCGUUAAGUAUUCCACCUGGGGAGUACGCCGGCAACGGUGAAACUCAAAGGAAUUGACGGGGGCCCGCACAAGCGGAGGAACAUGUGGUUUAAUUCGAUGAUACGCGAGGAACCUUACCCGGGCUUAAAUUGCAGAUGAAUUACGGUGAAAGCCGUAAGCCGCAAGGCAUCUGUGAAGGUGCUGCAUGGUUGUCGUCAGCUCGUGCCGUGAGGUGUCGGCUUAAGUGCCAUAACGAGCGCAACCCUUGUUGUCAGUUACUAACAGGUUCCGCUGAGGACUCUGACAAGACUGCCAUCGUAAGAUGUGAGGAAGGUGGGGAUGACGUCAAAUCAGCACGGCCCUUACGUCCGGGGCUACACACGUGUUACAAUGGGGGGUACAGAGGGCCGCUACCACGCGAGUGGACGCCAAUCCCCAAAACCUCUCUCAGUUCGGACUGGAGUCUGCAACCCGACUCCACGAAGCUGGAUUCGCUAGUAAUCGCGCAUCAGCCACGGCGCGGUGAAUACGUUCCCGGGCCUUGUACACACCGCCCGUCAAGCCAUGGGAGCCGGGGGUACCUGAAGUGCGUAACCGCGAGGAGCGCCCUAGGGUAAAACUGGUGACG
This 1434-nucleotide ribosomal RNA is filed under the name uncultured organism. RNAcentral describes it as "SSU rRNA". It matches the Rfam family "Bacterial small subunit ribosomal RNA". The record is from RNAcentral.